UUGGAAAGAUUUGUUUGGAGAGUGAUGGCAAAGUUAAAAGAAGCUAACUUUAUAGAAGAUAUUUCUUGUAUAAAGCGUCGUGGUGUUCCUGCAUUUCAUUAACAUGGAGAUCUAUAUGAAUUUAAGGACACAUCACAUUUCAAGAUAAGCUGGGCAGUUUCUGUUUCUGUUUGCCUAUUAUUUCUUUCAUUUGAUUUAGCUAAUCAUUUUUUUUGUUCUAGAGUAAAAUAUCUUGUGUGUUUUAUGUCAAUUCUUUAAUAUGCUUACCUUCUGCAA
Long non-coding RNA from Spea bombifrons (plains spadefoot toad), 276 nucleotides. RefSeq lists it as uncharacterized. The record is from RefSeq and is a predicted model, not a curated record. NCBI's taxonomy places the organism in Eukaryota, Metazoa, Chordata, Amphibia, Anura, Pelobatidae. The transcript is spliced from 4 exons.